This 448-nucleotide unclassified non-coding RNA is filed under the name Hevea brasiliensis (rubber tree). Lineage: Eukaryota; Viridiplantae; Streptophyta; Magnoliopsida; Malpighiales; Euphorbiaceae. The record is from RNAcentral.
AAAAAAAAAAAAAAAACUGUGUGUGGGGAAACAAAAUAAAUGUACAAUUGGUGCAACUUCAACAGCUAUCAUAACUAAAAGAUACUGAUGAUUUGGAACCUUGGAACAAUCUCAAGGUUUGUUGUUGAGGCACUGUGAGACUGGACAGAAAGUUUGUUGGCCCCAUCGGUGGUACGGUACCAUAUGUUAAUGUAUAAUCCCAUUUUGCAUAUAUGACUGGAUCUUGGUCUGCCCUCAAGGCAUUAGGAGCUUUAAACCAUAGGGGUGGCCACAAAAUUUUGUCUUCUAAGAAAAGGCCCAUUGGAGGACCGGGGUUGCUUAGACAUACAGACCUAAACCCCCUUGACUCCUAGUUGAAGUGGGAUAUUGGCAUCAUAAGAAUUUUUUUUAAUGAAUAAGCACAACAAUGUGAAUAAAUGUAAUUUUAUUGCUAGGUUGAUGAUAAGGC